RNAcentral lists this ribosomal RNA (253 nucleotides) under uncultured bacterium. RNAcentral describes it as "partial 16S ribosomal RNA". It matches the Rfam family "Bacterial small subunit ribosomal RNA", at positions 524 to 776 of the family's 1533-position model. The record is from RNAcentral.
UACGUAGGGUGCAAGCGUUAAUCGGAAUUACUGGGCGUAAAGCGUGCGCAGGCGGUUUUGUAAGUUUGUCGUGAAAGCCCCGGGCUCAACCUGGGAAUUGCGAUGAAGACUGCAAGGCUUGAAUCUGGCAGAGGGGGGUAGAAUUCCACGUGUAGCAGUGAAAUGCGUAGAGAUGUGGAGGAACACCGAUGGCGAAGGCAGCCCCCUGGGUCAAGAUUAACGCUCAUGCACGAAAGCGUGGGGAGCAAACUGG